This 496-nucleotide ribosomal RNA is filed under the name uncultured bacterium. RNAcentral describes it as "partial 16S ribosomal RNA". It matches the Rfam family "Bacterial small subunit ribosomal RNA", at positions 29 to 507 of the family's 1533-position model. The record is from RNAcentral.
AUGAACGCUGGCGGCGUGCCUAAUACCUGCAAGUCGAGCGAACAGACGAGGAGCUUGCUCCUCUGACGUUAGCGGCGGACGGGUGAGUAACACGUGGAUAACCUACCUAUAAGACUGGGAUAACUUCGGGAAACCGGAGCUAAUACCGGAUAAUAUAUUGAACCGCAUGGUUCAAUAGUAAAAGACGGUUUUGCUGUCACUUAUAGAUGGAUCCGCGCCGCAUUAGCUAGUUGGUAAGGUAACGGCUUACCAAGGCAACGAUGCGUAGCCGACCUGAGAGGGUGAUCGGCCACACUGGAACUGAGACACGGUCCAGACUCCUACGGGAGGCAGCAGUAGGGAAUCUUCCGCAAUGGGCGAAAGCUUGACGGAGCAACGCCGCGUGAGUGAUGAAGGUCUUCGGAUCGUAAAACUCUGUUAUUAGGGAAGAACAAAUGUGUAAGUAACUAUGCACGUCUUGACGGUACCUAAUCAGAAAGCCACGGCUAACUACGUG